GGAGUUAGCCGGUGCUUCUUCUGUGAGUGAUGUCCUUCCUGCCGGCUAUUAACCCGCAGGCCUUCUUCCUCACUGAAAGUGCUUUACAACCCGAAGGCCUUCUUCACACACGCGGCAUGGCUGGAUCAGGGUUGCCCCCAUUGUCCAAUAUUCCCCACUGCUGCCUCCCGUAGGAGUCUGGGCCGUGUCUCAGUCCCAGUGUGGCUGAUCAUCCUCUCAGACCAGCUACGGAUCGUCGCCUUGGUGAGCCGUUACCUCACCAACCAGCUAAUCCGACAUAGGCUCAUCCGAUAGCGCGAGGCCCGAAGGUCCCCCGCUUUCCCCCGUAGGGCGUAUGCGGUAUUAGCCUGGGUUUCCCCACGGUUAUCCCCCACUACCGGGCAGAUUCCUAUGCAUUACUCACCCGUCCGCCGCUCGCCACCAGGGAGCAAGCUCCCCGUGCUGCCGCUCGACUUGCAUGUGUUAGGCCUGCCGCCAGCGUUCAAUCUGAGCCAGAAUCAAACUCUGA
RNAcentral lists this ribosomal RNA (508 nucleotides) under uncultured bacterium. RNAcentral describes it as "partial 16S ribosomal RNA". The record is from RNAcentral.